GAUGAACGCUGGCGGCGUGCCUAAUACAUGCAAGUCGAGCGAACAGACGAGGGGCUUGCUCCUCUGACGUUAGCGGCGGACGGGUGAGUAACACGUGGAUAACCUACCUAUAAGACUGGGAUAACUUCGGGAAACCGGAGCUAAUACCGGAUAAUAUAUUGAACCGCAUGGUUCAAUAGUGAAAGACGGUUUUGCUGUCACUUAUAGAUGGAUCCGCGCCGCAUUAGCUAGUUGGUAAGGUAACGGCUUACCAAGGCAACGAUGCGUAGCCGACCUGAGAGGGGGAUCGGCCAAACUGGAACUGAAACACGGUCCAGACUCCCACGGGGGGCCGCAGGAGGGAAUUUUCCGAAAUGGGCGAAAGCUUGACGGAGCAACGCCGCGUGAGUGAUGAAGGUCUUCGGAUCGUAAAACUCUGUUAUGAGGGAAAAAAAAAUGUGUAAGUAACUAUGCCCGUCUUGGCGGUACCUAAUCAGAAAGCCACGGCUAACUACGU
Molecule: ribosomal RNA, 496 nt
Filed under: uncultured bacterium
Lineage: Bacteria
Description: partial 16S ribosomal RNA
Rfam family: Bacterial small subunit ribosomal RNA
Source: RNAcentral